This 102-nucleotide small nuclear RNA is filed under the name Callithrix jacchus (white-tufted-ear marmoset). The record is from RNAcentral. Lineage: Eukaryota; Metazoa; Chordata; Mammalia; Primates; Cebidae.
GUAUAUUUAGAUACAUAUGCUAAAAUUGGAAUAAUACAGAGAAGAUUAGCAUGGCCCCUGCACAAGGAUGACAGGCAAAUUUGUGAAGCGUUCCAUGUUUUG